This is a non-coding RNA of Gallus gallus (chicken), 441 nucleotides long. NCBI's taxonomy places the organism in Eukaryota, Metazoa, Chordata, Aves, Galliformes, Phasianidae. The record is from the annotation of a RefSeq genome assembly.
AUGGGGACUCACUGUGGUCUGAGUGAGGCCCGGCUCCACAAGGCCGUGUGGCGACGGCUCCGUCAGCGCUCUCUGUCCUUCCCCACAGGGCUGAUGGCGGCCGUGACGUUGGACGAGUCCGGGGGCGGCCUCCAGACGCCCGGAGGAGCGCUCAGCCUCGUCUGCAAGGCCUCCGGCUUCACCUUCAGUGACCGUGGCAUGCACUGGGUGCGACAGGCGCCCGGAAAGGGGCUGGAGUUCGUCGCGGGUAUUAAUGCUGCUGGUAGUGGCACAGGAUACGGGGCAGCGGUGAAGGGCCGUGCCACCAUCUCGAGGGACAACGGGCAGAGCACAGUGAGGCUGCAGCUGAACAACCUCAGGGCUGAGGACACCGCCAUCUACUACUGCGCCAAAAGUGCUUAUGUUCAGAUUGGGAGAUCAGAGCCCAAGGGACGGAGCUGA